GAUGAACGCUGGCGGCGUGCCUAAUACAUGCAAGUCGAGCGAAUGGAUUAAGAGCUUGCUCUUAUGAAGUUAGCGGCGGACGGGUGAGUAACACGUGGGUAACCUGCCCAUAAGACUGGGAUAACUCCGGGAAACCGGGGCUAAUACCGGAUAACAUUUUGAACCGCAUGGUUCGAAAUUGAAAGGCGGCUUCGGCUGUCACUUAUGGAUGGACCCGCGUCGCAUUAGCUAGUUGGUGAGGUAACGGCUCACCAAGGCAACGAUGCGUAGCCGACUUGGGAGGGUGAUCGGCCACACUGGGACUGGCACACGGCCCAGACACCUAAGGGAGGCAGCACUAGGGAAUCUUCCGCAAUGACCGAAAUUCUGACGGAGCAACGCCGCGUGGGUGAUGAAGGCUUUCGGGUCGUAAAACUCUGUUGUUAGGGAAGAACAAGUGCUAGUUGAAUAAGCUGGCACCUGGACGGUACCUAACCAGAAAGCCACGGCUAACUACGUGCCAGCAGCCGCCGUAA
This 515-nucleotide ribosomal RNA is filed under the name uncultured bacterium. Its description in RNAcentral is "partial 16S ribosomal RNA". It matches the Rfam family "Bacterial small subunit ribosomal RNA", at positions 28 to 523 of the family's 1533-position model. The record is from RNAcentral.